GUCCCCUCUCCACGUGGGUCAUUUGCAGGAUUUGAGGGCUGUGAGCAUCUCUGCUCCCCCUUCUCCAGCCUUUCCCCUCCCUGCUUUGUUCCUGCAGCCGCUGCUUCUUCCCCUUACAAACCCCCUCCCCACAGGGGAGCCCCUUUACAACAGCCAGUUGAUAAUUAAAACCUCGAGCAGAGAAGUUCCUUCUGCUCAUGGUCGCAUCUGCUGCCCUGGGGCUCCCACGGCUCUUGUGCGGCAGUGUCUGUCUGUCUGUCUGUCCUGUCUGUCCAGGCUUCCUGUGGCUGCAGCCACCUGAUACUGCAGCACUUCACCUCUGGGCAGGGUGCAGAGUGAGUGAGAGCCUGUCUGGGUUUGCUGCUGGAGGAUAAACACGCUGAGUAACAACAUUCCCGUGUGCUGGGAGCUGCCAAGGAGCCACGGCUCUGCCUCUUAGGGAUUCCUGAGGAAUCCCUUGGGAAAACCUCUGUCUCUUUUGCACCGCAGGAACACCUACACAGCUCCUUCAGGGACUGGAAAGCCACAGCCAGGUCACCCCAAAUCGUCUCUUCUCCAGGAUGAACAACCCAAUUGUGCCUAAAGGUCCUCCAGCACAGCAAGGACAUGAGCAGAUAAAGCUGGCAGGGGUGACCCAGGGACCCAACACCACCAGCGCCGCUCAGAGGGGAAGGGGGGAAAAAAAAAGAAAGAAAGAAAAAAGAGAAAAAACCCAAAACAACACCACGUAAAACCUUCCAAAAAUGCUGCACAAAAAGUGGCCACUCAGCAGAGCGAGGUUUCCUGCGCAGUGAGAGUUGGCCAGGGACAGAACAGGAAAUCACUGCUUCCUGCCUGCAGAGGAAGCGCCUAUCUCAUGCCCGUGAUCAAAAACAAACAGCACUUCAAUUAAACAAACAAAGGACCGAAAACUUCAACAGCUCCAGCCUGGGUCGGCUCCAGCCACAGGGAAACGUGUCCAAAAAUAAGAAGUUUGUAACCUUGAAAAGAGGUUUGUAACCUUCAUCCCCUUCCCCUCGCUGCGCGCGGGCAGCCGGAGGGACCCGGCGCCUCCAGGCUGGGAUGCCACUCCAGGGAUGUGGAAGGGGGUCCCACUCUUGGGUUUGGGGAAGGAGCAUGUCCAGCUGUCCAUCUGUCUAUCCAUAGAUCCAUCCCCAUGUCUAUCCACCCAUCCAUCCAUGGAUCCAUCCCCGUGUCCAUCCAUCCCUCCCUCUGUCCAACCAUCCCUGUGUCCAUCCAUCCAUCCAUCCAUGGAUCCAUCCAUCCAUGGAUCCAUCCAUCCAUCCCUGGGUCCCUCAGGCUGAGCCCCAAAGCCCCAGCAUUGCUUAUUCCCCACAUGUCUAGUGCUCUGGGCUUUUCCAAAUCUGGUCUGGCUGCAAAAACUGCCCUCCCAGCAUGGAAGUGAGCACAGAAAGAAAGACAUGGAAAAGCCAAGGUUGUCCUGCGACUGUAUUUGCAUCUCUCCAUCCCCCAAGCAGCACCUGGUGACCCCCGAGGCUCCAUCUCCUCCUACUCCCCCCUCAAUCCAGGGAUGCAAGGGCAGCCCCUCAAAUCCCACUUGGCUCUGCUGUAGGUUUGUACCAGGAUGGGUUUUACAGGAACGAGGAAUUCUUCUCCUGUGAGUUUUGCAUUUAAAAGAUGCCAAAACAACAGCAAAGCAGAUCCAGCUCCAGACUGAGGGAAUAACUAUUCCAGAGUCACCCACAGCCCCGCAAUGUCUUGGACAGCCAGUUCCAAGAAUGGGGGAAUGCGUGUGGCCACAAGGGUCUUUCUGUGUGGCCACCACACAAAACCUCAUUAUUUAGAAGUUCGCUGGUGAUCUGAGAACCAUCAGGUGCAGCCACUACUAAAGGCUGAGCUCAGACAUGAUUCUUGUUGCCUUACCCACCUGGUUUGUUCGGGCAAUAAAUAACCAUACCUGUUUCUUGGCUCUACGGC
Long non-coding RNA from Vidua macroura (Pin-tailed whydah), 1938 nucleotides. RefSeq lists it as uncharacterized. The transcript is spliced from 3 exons. NCBI's taxonomy places the organism in Eukaryota, Metazoa, Chordata, Aves, Passeriformes, Viduidae. The record is from RefSeq and is a predicted model, not a curated record.